This 216-nucleotide ribosomal RNA is filed under the name Glomeromycotina sp. RNAcentral's name for it is "partial small subunit ribosomal RNA". The stretch from base 40 to 216 matches the Rfam family "Eukaryotic small subunit ribosomal RNA", at positions 686 to 864 of the family's 1831-position model. The record is from RNAcentral. Lineage: Eukaryota; Fungi; Glomeromycota.
GGGUCAGUAGGUUGGUCGUGCCACCGGUACGUACUGGUCUCACUGAUUCCUCCUUCCUGAAGAACCGUAAUGUCAUUAAUUUGGUGUUGCGAGGAAACAGGACUGUUACUUUGAAAAAAUUAGAGUGUUUAAAGCAAGCUAACGCUUGAAUACAUUAGCAUGGAAUAAUGAAAUAGGACGAUCGAUCCUAUUUUGUUGGUUUCUAGGAUUGACGUA